CAUCCGUUUAUAAGCAUUUAGCGAUUAAACAAAAUGUUGUUUCUUUACUGGUAAACAUUGCAAACAGUGGUGUGAUAGUGUGUAUUUUGUUUCAUAGUUUGACACCAUCAUAGCCGUGAAGGUGAUAAGGAGCAAGCUAGGAGUCAUGCCCUGUGCAUUUAGUGGAUGCAUAGGCUGGAAGAGCAGCACAGGGAGAGAGGGCAUGGGACCAGUGGAUGCUUACCCAUCAGAUGCCAGAAAUGAGCACAUGCCAGACCACCGGCCAAGUUCCUCAAUGACAAUGGUGACCAUGAUAGAGACAACGAGGAAGAAGCUGGACCUGCAUGUGCUAUCAUCUGUGCUGCACCCAGGAGGAGAUGCCCAGCACGACCAGAAGAUGAUUAUCAGGAAUACACC
Molecule: long non-coding RNA, 396 nt
Organism: Protopterus annectens (West African lungfish)
Lineage: Eukaryota; Metazoa; Chordata; Ceratodontiformes; Protopteridae
Exons: 3
Source: RefSeq, a predicted model, not a curated record